Molecule: ribosomal RNA, 253 nt
Filed under: uncultured bacterium
Lineage: Bacteria
Description: partial 16S ribosomal RNA
Rfam family: Bacterial small subunit ribosomal RNA
Source: RNAcentral
UACGUAGGUGGCAAGCGUUGUCCGGAUUUACUGGGCGUAAAGAGCGCGCAGGCGGUCGUUCAAGUCGCGUGUGAAAGCCCCCGGCUCAACUGGGGAGGGUCACGCGAUACUGAUCGACUCGAAGGCAGGAGAGGGAAGUGGAAUUCCCGGUGUAGUGGUGAAAUGCGUAGAUAUCGGGAGGAACACCAAUGGCGAAGGCAGCUCGCUGGGACGGUACUGACGCUGAGACGCGAAAGCGUGGGGAGCAAACAGG